Molecule: non-coding RNA, 126 nt
Organism: Triticum aestivum (bread wheat)
Lineage: Eukaryota; Viridiplantae; Streptophyta; Magnoliopsida; Poales; Poaceae
Source: Rfam
UUAAUACUCCUUCCAUCCGGAAAUACUUGUAGUAAAAAUGGAUACAAAUGAAUGUAUUUAGAACUAAAAUACAUCUAGAUAUAUCCAUUCAUUGGACAAGUGUUUCCCGGAUGGAGGGAGUACAAG